RNAcentral lists this ribosomal RNA (497 nucleotides) under uncultured bacterium. RNAcentral's name for it is "partial 16S ribosomal RNA". It matches the Rfam family "Bacterial small subunit ribosomal RNA", at positions 28 to 507 of the family's 1533-position model. The record is from RNAcentral.
GAUGAACGCUGGCGGCGUGCCUAAUACAUGCAAGUCGAGCGAACAGACGAGGAGCUUGCUCCUCUGACGUUAGCGGCGGACGGGUGAGUAACACGUGGAUAACCUACCUAUAAGACUGGGAUAACUUCGGGAAACCGGAGCUAAUACCGGAUAAUAUAUUGAACCGCAUGGUUCAAUAGUGAAAGACGGUUUUGCUGUCACUUAUAGAUGGAUCCGCGCCGCAUUAGCUAGUUGGUAACGUAACGGCUUACCAAGGCAACGAUGCGUAGCCGACCUGAGAGGGUGAUCGGCCACACUGGAAGUGAGACACGGUCCAGACUCCGACGGGGGGCAGCAGUAGGGAAUCUUCCGCGAUGGACGAGUGCCUGACGGAGCAACGCCGCGUGAGUGAUGAAGGUCUUCGGAUCGUAAAGCUCUGUUAUUAGUGAAGAACAAAUGUGUAAGUAACUAUGCACGUCUUGACGGUACCUAAUCAGAAAGCCACGGCUAACUACGUG